CUGAUCAGUCACCCCCAGCUCAGCGGCAGCAGACGGCCAGCGUGGAGCCAGAGUGGCCGCGGAGGCGCUCACACGACGCUUUAGAAGCACGUGAGCCAGCACUUAAACGCUGGAAGGUCUCUUGUGAGAUCCCAGAUCGUCUGCACCUCGUAAUAAGCGGGAAGCUGUGUCAGCCGGGGGCCUGCGUUUGGGCUCGGCACCAACGGGGACUGGCUGCCCCUCGGGAAAGGGCACGUGUCCCCCAGUUCACCACCACCCCGGCCCCUUGUCUCAGGCCUGACCCACCUCCUCGUGUGGGCUGCCUGCUGGGCCUCCUACAAGCGUCUGAAUCUGGGGGACGUUCUUUCCCUAGAGUCUCGGCCUUACCUUCCCAAGUUCCCAAGGCUUCUGCCCACGUCCUUCGCUGCCCCUUCCGCAGGCAGGCCUCGGGUGGGCUGGCCGGGGUGCGGUGCGGUGGCCUUUUUCUCUGCCCUUUUCUUGCCCUGUCCCCACCCCCACCCCAGCUCUCCAUCCCAAAUGCUAGAAGCUCUCCAGGGUGUGGGUGUGCUGGGUGGGGGGUUGCUACUGGAGAGCUGUUGUGGUGCCGCCCUCCACCCAUCCUCACGCCCCACCCCAGGCGGGAGCGCUCCAAGGUGCCCUACAUCGUCCGGCAGUGCGUGGAGGAGGUGGAGAAGAGAGGCAUCGAGGAGGUUGGCAUCUACCGGAUCUCGGGCGUGGCCACGGACAUCCAGGCGCUCAAGGCCGUCUUCGAUGCCAAUAACAAGGACAUCCUGCUGAUGCUGAGUGACAUGGACAUCAACGCCAUCGCCGGGACGCUCAAGCUCUACUUCCGGGAACUGCCCGAGCCGCUCCUCACGGACCGACUCUACCCAGCCUUCAUGGAGGGCAUCGCCCUGUCAGACCCUGCUGCCAAGGAAAACUGCAUGAUGCACCUGCUCCGCUCCCUGCCCGACCCCAACCUCAUCACCUUCCUCUUCCUGCUGGAACACUUGGUUGCCGAGAAGGAGCCCAUCAACAAAAUGUCACUUCACAACCUGGCUACCGUGUUUGGACCCACGUUACUGAGACCCUCAGAAGUGGAGAGCAAAGCACACCUCACCUCGGCUGCGGACAUCUGGUCCCAUGACGUCAUGGCACAGGUCCAGGUCCUCCUCUACUACCUGCAGCACCCCCCCAUUUCCUUCGCAGAACUCAAGCGGAACACACUGUACUUCUCCACCGACGUGUAGCCCGAGGCAGGGCGGUUGCGGGGGGGUGGUGGAGACAGCCCCUCCAGCCCGGGGUCCAACUCAGACUUGAAAGACUGCAAUAGAAAACUCCCAAACCCAGCACUCCAGACUCAAGGGAAGCCAGCUUCCAAGAACUGGAAUGCGUACGUCUUUUGUGCCACCUUGUACAAAGCCGGCUGCCCAGCCCCAGCCUCACCACCGCACCCACCUCCUGCCCUCCAUACCUCUAGUUGUGUCUGAUGCUCCGUGCUGUUCGGGAAUUGUUUUAUGUACACUUGUCAUGCAGAAAAGGUAGUGACCGGCCCGGCGUGGGCACAGACAGCCCGCUUUGUUCUUUCAUUUCCUCCAGCACUUUCUUUCCUCCUGAGUCCAGCCCAAGGCCUUUUAUUUUGCGCUGUGUAACCGCUGCCAGCUUCUCUCUUGGCCCUGCUCCCAGAUGGCGGUCUCCUGGCAGCCCCCGCUCAGUCUUCCUCCACCCGCUCUUCCUUCCCAGCCUGCCUGCAUGCGUGUGCACCCUCGGUCUUCGCUGCAUCACCUUGAAAGCUCUGAAGAGGCCCCGGGUUGCCGGGGCAGCGGCGGCCCGUUUGAUGCUGCCGUUUGCCGCUGCCGGCCCCUCCUCAGCCUCCGCCUUUGGGAGCACACCUGCUUUGCCUUGCUGCCUGUGCAAAUGUUGGACAAGGAGACACACUCACACUCGUCCCCAGCUUAGCACAGAGCUGGAGUGCCCAUUUCUGGAAUUUUCCAUUUGGGAAUCUCCACUUCUGGGGUUUACCUGUUCGGCCUCCUGCCUAUCAGUGAGGCAUCUCUGACUGUUUCUUCUACUGCUUUUCAGUUCCUUUCCCUGCUGUUCUAUUUCCUUUGAGUGUAAAGACUCACAAGUGACCUGCUAUUGAGAUAGCCAGAGGGUCAGCAGAGAACGGGGGAGGAGGCAGGCUGCUGAGGAAACACCACGGGCUGAACGGGGGAGGAACGCACACAUCACGCUGGGUGUCCCGGGUCAUGGGUGGGGCAGCUCAGCUCUUAGGAGCGAGUUGUGGGGGCUUUUCAAGAGGGGCCAGGCUUCCUGGAGGGUGACUGAUGUGGCCGAAGCAGGUGUCCAGGCAGGCAGGCUGCAGCCAGGAGCUCCCUGGCACCGCAGGACCUCGUGGUACUCUUGCCUUAGAUUUUACACACUCUCCACAGCCAAGCACUGCCACGGUCCUCCAGGACCUGGGAAGCAAAGGCACAGGCCCACAGUGGUCAGCCAUUGUGGUGCCACCCCAGCUUCUGGACGCAGCCUUUUGGGUAAACACUGGGAACUCCAGAAGUUGCGGGGAGAGUGGGGAAUCAGACAGCCGCCUCUAGGGGCUGGGUUCUGCUGGGGCCUCCUUGGUGCUGUAGGCACCCGCCAGGGAGCAGGGACCCGACUUGAAGACUCAUUGCCCAGUACUAGGAAGGAGUGAGGUGUGUUCCCACCGUACACUUUCCCACAUGAGCUGCGGCUGCCAGCCUCGGGCCAUCAGCCUAGGAGAGCAGACGCAGCUCCAGGGGCUCGACUUAUAGCCAGUUACAGCUCCCUGGGUGUUCUAUGUGGCAGAGUGUCGUUUCUGGGCCCUCAGGGCUGGGGAGCUCAGUUCCCACUGCUUGUGCUUGGGGCUGAGUCUUAAAGAAGGGUUUGCUGGCCCUAAGGCUGCAGCGCUUGCUCAGUAAGAGGCAGAGCCCUUUUUGAUCCUGUUUACUCCUGUUGUCUUGGGCAGAACAGUAAAUAUUCUGUGCACGGAGGAAAGACAUGCCCAAGAGGAAGGAAGUACUGACCAUCAGCUGCCUGUGAGCAGCUUAGCAGGGAGCCCUUGCUCCCUGGGACAGGCGGUGAACUUGAGUCUAAAGAUCCAGCGCCUGGCCCUUCCUAAGGUCCCUGCCUGGCAUCUGAGUGUCGGUGUGUGGCACAGAAGGCUCCUGCUUGCUUCCAAAGCAAUGGACAGGAAGGGGCAGAGUGAGUCAUGGCUCAGACUGGGCACCUUCGCAUCUCAGCCUCAGGGAGCCCCACGGCCCCAAGCUUGCUGAGGCAACGUGAGAACAGGCUACGGGAAGGCUGCAAAAGCUGAGAAAUGCAAAGGCUCAUAUUUAUAAAUCCCACCCCCAGAGUGGGGAGGGUCAGGUGCCAGACCUGGACUGAACUGCACUAAGGAAACACCCAGCAGGGUCUCCUGUGAGCUGGGGACCGUGCAGCCCGGGACCUCCAGUCACUGCGCCCGGCAGGAGUCAGGAGCCAGGGAUUGUGCAGCCCGGGACCUCCAGUCACUGCGCCCGGCAGGAGUCAGGAGCCAGGGACUGUGCAGCCCGGGACCUCCAGUCACUGUGCCCAGCAGGGUGGGCUGUGCCCGGCAGGAGUCAGGCUAAGAAACCCCAGGUCUGCCUGUCCUUGCUGGGCAAUGGCUGAUGGCUGCCAGUUUCUGCUGAUACACAGGUAGGAUGGGACCCUUCAUGAAUAUCUGACUUUAAUAAGUUGGUAAGGAUAUAUUUUUUUGUCUAUGUUCUGUUUCAACUUAUGUAGAUUAUUAUAAAUCGAUGUAAACCACGUGAGAGGAAAAUGUUAAUAAAAAAUGCAAAGCCCCAACAUUUGCAC
This 3834-nucleotide small RNA is filed under the name Pongo abelii (Sumatran orangutan). RNAcentral's name for it is "retained intron". Lineage: Eukaryota; Metazoa; Chordata; Mammalia; Primates; Hominidae. The record is from RNAcentral.